Molecule: long non-coding RNA, 18349 nt
Filed under: Citrus sinensis (sweet orange)
Lineage: Eukaryota; Viridiplantae; Streptophyta; Magnoliopsida; Sapindales; Rutaceae
Description: long non-coding RNA (CSIN_LNC003605)
Source: RNAcentral
ACUCACGGCUGCUUUUUCUUGGAGUAUUGGGCGUACGUUUUGUUGCUUAUCAGUGUCUACAGAAAAAGUGGCACCAUGUAAAAUCAUUGCGGACGUACUAUUUGUCGCUACCACCGCAUCGAAUUAUUGCUUGCAUGGGCCUUGGGCCCAGGGCACAAGCAUCUGUCGGCCCAAUUGGGCCAUAAACAUGCCCUUUUAACAUAAAAAGUUUCCACGGCGAUCCAUCCACAGCCACAAGCAAGGAAUAUUUUGCCUUUUGCAGAUGCCAAGUAAUCUUGGCAUGUUGGGGGGAUGCAAAAAUUCCUUGAUUUAUUUUUAAUUAUUUACAAUUUUUUUACUUUUUGGGUUUGGAGAAGCUACUAAACACUACGUAAAGACAGUAAAGAGUCAAAACAAAUUCUUAUAUUUUAGAUUUUAAACUAGUCUUUACUUGUAUAUUUGAAAACAAAACAAGAUUUUCAAAAAAAAUUUCCCUCUUUUGUCCGAAGCUGCUGUACGGCCAAGGCGGAUGUACGGUACAGCAGUAACAAAUGUUGCUGUUCUUGAUGUUAAAUUGGCAGAGUUUAUGAGCAAAAUUAGUAGUAUUUACAUCGAUGUUAGCUAAGUUUUGCUUAUGCCAUUAAUCUCAAUUGAGUCUUUGCUAGCACUGUGGACUCAAGAACUUGAUCCGGAAAGAAAGGAGGAUCAACCUGUCAAGAAGAGGAAGAUUCACGAAAAGAGUGAGAGUCUUGGUGUUGCUAUAGAUGAUGAAAGUUCGAAAAUGGAUCAAUCUUGAUGGCCAAUAAUUAAUUGUUGAUUAAUAAUCUCUUGCGUAUCCUUCAUUUUUAAAGAGGUGAAAAUUGAUUUGAUUUUGUUGCUUGUUCUGUUUUUACCGUUGAUUUUCUUUUAUGGGUUCAUUGCUAAAAUCAAGUUGCAAGAUCUUGUGAUCCAUUUUUCUUUCCUUUGUGUAAUAAGGAGAUGUGCAAAAGAAAAUAUGUGGAAUAAAUGUAUCAUUCAAAGAUGAGCCAUGAUUAAUGUCAAAAAAAAAAAAAGAUAAUCCAUGAUUGCUUCACUAAUUUUGUGCCUUCGUUUAUGAGUGAGUCGAGAGAGUUGGAAGCUGUUCUUGUCUCAAUAUCUCAAUGUAAUAAUUCCCUCUGGUAUUGUAACAAAAAAAUACCUUAUUAAAAAGCAAUCAUAUUAAGAAAUAUUACCAUAUUAAAUAAAAGAAAAAAACUGAAAUUUUCAAUCUUGAAUUCAUUCUUCGUUAAUAAGGGCUCUAUUUUCUAAUACAACCAUUGAUUAAUUCAAACCAAUAGAACUAAUUCAAACCAUUGAUUCUUUUUCACUUCCCCUAGCUUUCUCAGCUGCCAGACAAAAGGUAGACCUUCCAAACUCCAAUGAAUCACUUCAAAGAAAUCAAUAAAUUAAUCAAAAGUCUACGAACAGCUAAAGGGCUAAAAAUUAAAAUUACCUUUAGGCUACGGUUAAAUCUUCUUUGAAGCGGGUCUGAAUCCUACUUUGGGCUGUAGUCGGGCCUCGACCUCAUUGGAAGAUUAGGCCUUUUGACAUCCCCACAAAAUUCCUUUUAAAACGCUUUUUUUGUUCAAAAAAACCUGAAUUCACCUCAUUAAACUAAUACAAAUUUAUUUAUUUAUUUUUUGUUUUGAACGGAAAUAAAAUUAAAUGCUUAAUUUUUAUUUUAACAAACUUUUUACAUCAAUCCAUUUCAUAAUCUAUAUUUACAUUUUAAUUGAAAAAUAAAAAUUAUAAAAAUUAAAUAAUAAAAUGGAAAAUUUUUAAAUAAAUAUUUUAUGCAAUUUAAAAAGAAAAUCUUGGGUACAAUUUUGUGGAAGAUGGUUAAUUUUAAUCUAUAGAGUUGUCAUAUUAUCAAUUAAAUUGAGGGUAUUUUAGGUUUAAAAGGGGCUGUUAUAAGAAUUUUAGAAGGGUGUUAAAAGCUCCACACAUUUUUCAAUGACCUUCGCUCUGCCAUGACAAUAAAACUGAAAACGACGCCGUCUGUAUAAUUCUGUGAACGCCAUUUGAACAAAAUCUUUCUUUAAUCAUUCUUCGUAGCUACUAAUUCAAACAACACCCGCUUAGGCCCCGUUGGAGCUUUUCAAUGACCUUUAAUUCUGCCAUAACAAUAAACUGAAAACGACACCGUCCGUAUAAGUUUUCGCGCAUCAUUUUAGCAAAUUGUUUUUUAAAUCGCUCGCAGCUACUAAUUUCACACAAUGCACCUUCAUUGGGCCUGGCCCUCGAUAUAUUUUUUCAAUGAUCUUUCGAUUCAACUAUCAUAAUGAGCUGAAAAACGACACCGUCUGUGUUAUUUUGUGCGCGCCAUUUGAGCAAAUUGUUUCUUAUAUCGUUGACAGCCACUACUACUAAUAAAUCACACACAAUACGCCUUCAUUGAUUGUCUUUUCAUCAAGCAGCUGAUAAGUGCUAUGGAUGAGUUGAGAUCCAGCAGUGGCAGCAAUUCCUUGAACUCAUCAGCAUCAAGCUUCUCUGUGGCUUCAAGCAUUUCAACCAACUCAUCCACAAAAUUGAGUUGUUCAGGUACCUUAACUUUUACUCCAACUAAAUUGUUUGCUGAUUCUGAAGAGAAAGUGUUGCCUAAUGAUUCAAUUAAGUUAGAUGAUUCAUCUGGUUCUGAAGUUAAUCAACCAAUAGUAUAUAGUAUGAAUCACGUGGAUGACUUAAUUGAUUGUGAUAUUAAGGAUGAUGUAGUAAAAUCAGAUAAUGUGAACAAUGAUAAAGAUAAUUCGAGUGAUUCUGAUGACGUGGACAAUGAGCAAAAUUCAGAUGAUUCUGAUAAUUUUAACAAAGUGGACAAUGGGAAAAAUUCAUAUGAUUAUGUUGAUGUUAACAAUGAUGAAGAUAAUUCGAGUGAUUCAAAUUUAGAUGAUUCUGUUGAUGUUAACAAUGAUGAAGAUAAUUCGAAUGAUUCUGAUCAUGUGGACAAUGAGCAAAAUUUGGAUGAUUCUGGUAAUGUUAACAAUUUGGAUAAUGGGGAAAAUUUAGAUGAUUCUGUUGAUGUUAACAAUGAUGAAGAUAUGGCUAUUUCUGAUGUAACUUGGCAACACGAUGGCGAGGACUUACAUUGUCAAUUUAUCUGUGCUUUGAUGAAGAAGGUGCCCCCAAAGAAAUUUAAGAUUCCUUUUAGACAAAAUAAGGAAUAUGAUAAUAGAUUGGGGAAAGUUGCAGAGAUUUUGAAAGAAGUUAAGCGAGAGCUAAGACAACAUGCAAAAUCUAAGGGAAGUAGAUUUUUGAAUGAAGAUGAUGUGGAUGCAACUUGUGCUUUUAAUGACAAUGACUUUAGUCUCUAUCAUUUGAUGAGGGAGGAAGGCAUGGCUAUAAAUGAUGUUCAUAUUGAUAAAUUGAUAGACAUUGAGAAUCAAUUAAAAGAAUCAAAGAAUAUUGUUAGGGAAAUAGUGGAGGAGAUUCGAGAGCUAUACUAUGUGGGUGGGGAUUCUGCCCAGGGAAUGGAAAAUGGAUGAAAAUGAAGAUUCUAAAGAGGGGACUGAAAACUCUGAGGAUGAAUCUGAAGAAGAGUUGAACAGCAAGACAUUGAACAAGGAGGACAGUGAAGACAGUAAGGAUGAAUCCGAAGACUCUGAGGAUGAAUCUGCACAAGAGUUGAACAGCAAGACAUCAAACAAGGAGGACAAUAAAGAUACUGAGAAGGAUGAGUCUGAAGACUGAAAAUGAAUCAGACUGAAGAUUCUGACUCAAAGAGGUUUUGAUCAAAUUCCGAACUCAAUGAUUAGGAAGUCAUUUAAAUGAAUAUUCAAAUUCAGCAGUCAAUUGUGAAAAUGCAGUUUCUCCUCUCUUUCUCCCUCUGCAUAAUGCUUUCUAUAUUCUUAGCAAGGAUCAUUUUGUUGACCGAUGGAAAAAAAUUGUAAAGCAUGUUAUCAUUGUUUGUCUAUCAGCAUGUAUGGAAUUCUCAAAAGUGAUAAAAUUUGUUUAGUGCAAAUGUCCUUUCAAAUUAUGUUUGAAAUAUAUCCUUUGAUGAUAUUUGAACUAUAUAUGCUUGAGGUCACCAGACCAACUCCAGUAAGACACCUGAACCUAUUGUCUCUCCUGAAGGGCUUGUUCUACUUGUAGAUGAUCAUGACCCUAUAGAAUAAUCUUGUUGCGGAUAUACUUGACAAAGUAAGUGCUAUUGCCAAUGUAUUCCAGAUUUAAUGGUUUAAAUGCAUACUGCCUAUUUAUUGAACACUAAGUUACCUUUGUCACUUUCAAUUAGUAAGUUCUUUAACAUUUUUGGAUGAUUUAUGAGGCUUUUGGAUGUUGUUAGACCUAUACACGAUAGUCAAUACCAAGAAUUUUACUUCCAAUUAGCAUGAUAUCUUGAGAUAUGUUCUGUAUGCUCAUUCAUGGUUUACUUUUGUUUUUGGUAUGUUAUCAGCAUCAGAGGAAGUCAGAGCUCAAAACUUUCCAGUUAUGUUACGCACCUAUCUAUCUUUUAUGGUCACAAAGAAACCACCUAGGUUGCAGAUAGAUGUAUGAGGGUUGAGCUGGUUAUGCUUAAAAUAAGAAGAUGCUUCUUAUCUGGCCUACUUACCUUGUUGCAGGUCAGGCAUUUGGGGUGAUUCCGGUGACAGUUCUGGAUUCUAGCAGCUCAGAAAAUUAUAAGUGCAUCCGUGCAUUUUUAUAGUUACUUCACCUUGAAGUUUAAAGUUUCAUAAACAACUGCUUAGUUUUGCAGAUAUUUGCCACCUAUUGGCUUUAAUAUAGUUAAUUUGUUAGUGCUAGCAUGUACUAAUUGGAUCAACUUCUUACAGUGCUAGCAUGAGACUCUCUCUCUUUUCCUGAAUCUUCCUCUUCUUGACAGGUGGAUCCUCCUUUCUUAUUGGAUCAAUUUCUUACAGUGCUAGCAUGUACUCAAUUGAGAUUAAUGGUACAAGCAAAACUUAGCUAACAUCCAUGUAAAUACUACUAAUUUUGCUCAUAAACUCUGCCAAUUUAACAUCAAGAACAGCAGCAUUUGUUAAUCAUAAGCGAGAAUUAAAUUAAAUAUUAUAUAAACUCUUGUCCGGGUAUUUUAUUAUGUGUGAUGAUCUCAUCCAAAGUUUAGGAGACCAUUGCUGAAAGCAUUCAAUGAAAAUAUUUUAGAAGGAGAUGUGAAUGUGAUCAAUAUAAAAAAAAGGUAUAAAAUUUAAAUAAUUACUAAAAUCUCUUCAUGAAAAUUGCCUUUCAAAGUGUUACCUCCAAGCAUCAAGCAUCAACCAUCAAGUGGAUACAUGUAUCCACCAUAAAAAUUUCUUUGAUGAAGUGUUUCAUAUCCCAAGAAUAAAUGUUUUUAUUACAAAAAGAAAGAUACAUCUAAAAACUGCAAAAUGUGAGUGGGAUAUUAAUAUCCCAACUCAAGCGAAUUGAUCAAGAGUGUUAUAUCUAUUUUCCUUAGCUUCUUCUUCCGAGGAUCAUCACCAUCAAUCUGCGUAUAGUCUUCUACGACCCACUUUAUAAUUUUCUUUCUGUCAUAAUACUUUUCAAGCUCUGUCUCUAAUCUUGCUGCUUUUCCGAAUACCCGCUGCAAUUUCUUUUCAUUUUUCCUAUACGCAGAUUUCUCUUUUAUUUUUUUUGAUCGAGAGUUAUAUAUAAUUGUCCUUCUUAGGGCUAUCUUCAGCAAAUUCAAGAGGUGGUUUGGGUAGGGGGUACCCGUAGCAAAUCGGCUGUUCACUGACGAACUGUCGGACUGUUGAGAUUGAGCAGCUGCUGCCAUUGUUUCAAUUUGACGAACAAGAACCAGCCUUGAUGUUGCAGUCUCGGAGAGUCUUGGAGAAAAAUAAGCAAGAAGGUUAUCGGGUUCUUGAAAAAUAAGGAAAUUGUUAACCUUUAAAUCUAGCCCUUAUUUAUAGACUCAUUAUGUGACUCCUUAUUCCUUUAGGAAUCCUUGUUCCCUUAGGAAUCCAUGUUACUUUAGGAAACUCUCAACUUUUAAGUAAUUAAAAAUAAUUAAUUAUUUAAAAUUAAAAGAUAUCCUAAAUUAAGAAGGAAUCCUUGAGUGGCCAAGGAUCCUAACUUCUAACGCCUUCUUAGGAACUUGAUUCUACUUUUAAAUGUCUAACGGUAAUAAUAUGAAGGGUAAUUUUGGUGUAGAGAUCUUAAUUGGUAAUUAUUUAAAUUUAACAAAUGUUAAUAUGCUCUCAUGAGUUAUUGAUUACUAAGUUAUCAUUUAUGUGAGUUAGAACUUUUAUGAUUACUAAGUUAUCAUUUUAACAAAAAUGAUCAGUGUCCAAAAUAACUUAGUGAAAUGUUUGGUAAAUUUAGAUCAUAAUUAGAGACAAUCACUUAUGAAAUAAUUUAUUGUUAAAUAGCAAAACCGUGGAAGUACAUAUAAUGUAUAUGUGAAAUGGCCAAAAUGAACAUGUUAUACUAANNNNNNNNNNNNNNNNNNNNNNNNNNNNNNNNNNNNNNNNNNNNNNNNNNNNNNNNNNNNNNNNNNNNNNNNNNNNNNNNNNNNNNNNNNNNNNNNNNNNNNNNNNNNNNNNNNNNNNNNNNNNNNNNNNNNNNNNNNNNNNNNNNNNNNNNNNNNNNNNNNNNNNNNNNNNNNNNNNNNNNNNNNNNNNNNNNNNNNNNNNNNNNNNNNNNNNNNNNNNNNNNNNNNNNNNNNNNNNNNNNNNNNNNNNNNNNNNNNNNNNNNNNNNNNUAAAUUAAAAUGAUUAAUUUUUAUUUUUACAUUAUUUCAUGGAUUAAUAUUUAAAUUUAUUUAUUUUGAAUAAAUAAAAAUAGGAAAUUCAACAACCUAAUCUUAUAGUGGCCAAUUGCAUAGGUGCCCUCAACAUUGUUAAAAGUAUCCACCCCACCAUUAGACUACGAUCCCGAAGGCAAUAGAAACAUGUGUGAGAUUAAUCACAAUUCACAACUACAUUUUGAGUAAUUACGGGUGCGCAGAUAAGAUAAGACAAUUUUUAAAUUUGGACUAAUUUCUAACUAGAUAGCUAGUGAUUACCUUUGAUGAGGGGUUUGGUUAACUUAGCAUUUUACCUCAAGUAAAUGAAGAGAAUUUAUUAGUAUUAAAAAUUGUUUGAGCGAUAAAAAUUAUUAUUUUGUGUUUAUAUUAUAAUUUAUAUUUGUGUUUAUGCAAUAUAUUAAGGAUUAUUAAUUAUUUCUUAACAAUAUUUAAUUAUGUGUAUUUUUGUGUGCUUAUUAGGUAAAAUAUUAAAUUCACGUAAUUCGAGACUCCAAACAGAUAAGCUGAUAUUAAAUUUGGAUUCUGAAGAUACGAAAACUUUAAGAUGAGUCAAGACCAACUUAAAAUUGAGCUUGUUCAAAAAGUUGACUUUUUGUGUUGACCGAGCACUGAUUGCAUAAUAAAAUGAGUUUAUAAUAGAUAUGAAUGCAUUGGAUAGCUGUCAAUUUUGACCAAAUCUCAACCAUUCAUAAUUCAAUGGUCACGAUCGUGCCACGUGACAAUAGUUGGUGAAGCAAGUUGUAGGAUCCGAACCUUUGUAUUCAGGUCGACCCGAUUCACCCAUUAACCCACUAAAUCUUAAUCAUUCUAUGAUUAAAUCGGACGCUUCACAUGAUGCCACGUGUAAUAUUGACUUUUGAAGUUUGACCAGCCGUUGGAUCUUGAUCUAAUGAUUCUGAGGAGCCUAUGCAUAAAGCUUAUGAUAGACCGAAAAACACUAGAUUAUGAAUGUAUUUUUCUAUAAAUAGAGCCUCAUUUUUAUGUUUUGGGGUAUCUCUCUUCUUCUCAAUUUCUCUCAAUUUUUAUGCAAUCUUAUUUUUCAAGUGUGUUUUAAUAUUUUGUGUAAUUAUUUUUAUAAAUAAAUUUAGUUUUAUUUUCAAUUUUAGUUGUUUUUAUUCCUUUUAAUUAUGAGUAAUUUAAUUUUAAUAAUUAUUUUUAUUUCAAUUAUACUUAGCUAAAUAAUGAUAGUUAGGGUAAGGUGAAACUCUUAUGAAAUAAAUGUGAGUUAAUCAAAUUCUAUUUUUAAUUAUAUAAAUUAAAUUAUUUUCUAUUUAAUUUUAUACAUGUUUUAUAUUUUGAAAUUUUGAUUUAUUGUAGACAAACGAGGGAGUUUGGCACAAUAAAAUCUUAAUAUUUUAACAUAAGGUAUGAUAAAAUAGUAUUUUGACUUAUUGUAGAUAAAUUAAAUUUUGGCACAAUAAAUACUUAAUCAAUAAAAAAAUUAAUGGGAAAAUAAUAAUAAUUUAUAUAAUAAAUCUUCUGGGCAAUAAACCUAAAUAAAAAAAUGGCAAAAAGAAUUUAUUAAAUUUUAUUUACUACUAAGAGUGGAUCCAUAAUCCUAACUAAUUUAAUUUCAUAGUUUCACUUAAAUUAAGUUGCAUAUAUUCAAGUUUUAUUUUUAUUUUUAGAUUAAAUAAAAUAAACAAAUAAAUUUUUUUCUCUGUGGAUUGAUUUCGGACUCACCGAACUAUAAUAUAACAAAACACUCUUAUAUUUGGGAGUUAAAAAUUACUUUUAAAUUCUGUUAAGAAUGAUGCCAAAAUAUAAAGAUAAUAACAGACAACAGCACAUAGCAAGACACAUAAAUAAGUAAUUUUGAUGAACAAAUUAAUUAAAACCAUAAGUUUCACUUCCAAAUACAAAUUCCAACAAAGGAAAAUUAAUAAUUUUUUUUAAUUUUUUUAUUUUUAUCUAAAAGCACUAAUUGGCACUGCGGUAAUAAGGUCAAGAGCGGCUGAGAAUCUCUCCCACGGCUCGGUUCUAGGAUUAAGGUCCGGCAAGUCAUCACUCAGGGGCAAGUAAUUUAAAACGAAGCCAGGCAUCGGGUCAGCCAGGGACCGGCGCUGCGGAAUUCCCGACAGCUCAGUAUGUAUUCGAGCAAUCUCUUCAAACAAGUUUAUGUAGCUCUUGCACUCGUGCAGCUUCACCAUUCCAGGAACGUGUAGCGGUUCGCUGAUCAAAAUUGGCACCAGUUUUUGAGGCUUAUUGGCUUCAGUUCGUCUCACAUUCGCUUGUAUAUUAUUAUUAUUACUUUUGGACUUUGAAUUUGCUCAGCAGAUAUAUAUAUAUAUAUAUGUUAUGUUAUUUCAAUUUGUUAAUAUAUACCAAACUCGAAAAAAUUAUGAAGAGAUUCAAUGAACAAACUUAAAUUCACAGAUUAAAAUCGAUUCAUACAUUAUUCAAUGCUUUUAAGUGUUGACUGCAUAUAUAAAAUUUUAUCCUAUCACUUUUAACCCUCAAGUUUUUACUUCUAACUCCGUCUUUGGUUCAAUGCGCAAUAAACAGUACACAAAGCCAAGGGGAAAAAGAUACCAUCACCAUUUUGGUUUGAGAAAAUGAUCAUGCACACUCCUUUUUAUAUUUAGAAAUAAUCAUAUAAACUUAUUUUUGGACAAAUGAACUCUUUUUUAUAUUCAGAAAUGAUCACAGACUCACACAUAUUCUUAAGAUUCAUCUAGCGUCUUAAAAAGGACUAUGUGAUCAAAUCUGAAAACAUAUAGGUUUUUGUGAUUAUUUCUAAAAAUAUAGGAUCUUUUUAAUAAUUUUACCAAACUAAGGGUAUCUAAACAAUUAAAACGACCACAACUAAGACACCAACUUUUAUAUAAAAGAAAAUUAUAUAUGAAGAUUAAAAUCUAACAUCAUUUUUCAGAGAUCUUUGUACAAACUAACUACAUCAAAAUAAUUUUAGGCUUUGGCUGCAUAUAUAAAAAUUUAUCCUAUCGCUUUUAGUCCUUAAGUGUUGAAUUCUAACUUUGUCCCAAGACAAAAUAAAUAAGAACACAAAACAAACAGAGACAAUCAAAAUAAUUUUAGGUUUUGGCUGCAUUUAUAAAAGUUUAUCCUAUCGCUUUUAGCCCUUAAGUUUUGAAUUCUAACUAUGUCCCAAGACACAAUAAAUAAGAACACAAAACAAACAACGACAAUCAAGACACCAAUUUUUACAUGAAAGAAGGCUAUGAAUACUAUUUCUAAGAUCUUUGUAUAUACCUUUGUAAACAAUAAUUUUUAGCUCUCAACAAUCAAAUUAAUUGUAACCAGUUUCAAGAGACCAUUAGAAAGAGAAUAAAUUAAAAAGCAAAGUUUCUUGAAAACGUAAAAUUUGAGGUAAAGAACUAACCCUUGAAAGACCAAGAGAAAACGAAGCUCAAACUUUAGUUGUCUGCUUCUUGGCUUCUUCCACAGCAAUGCCUUGACUCCCCCAAUAAUAAUUAUAAAUUCUUUUUACAGGUUCUUAUUUUCCCUUUUCCUAAACUAAUUUCCUCCGAUUCAAUAAUUACUCCAUACUUUCAAUGCGAAAUCUUUUUGUCCAAGGAAUCGUUAGGUUUUGGGCUAGGCUAUCGACAUGAGCUGACAAGCCCACCAGCCCAACAAGUAGAAUUCACUGUAUUAAUUAAUUAUUAUCAAUUACGAUAACCACGAGAUAAAUAAUAAAAUCUGGCUUAAACAAGGGUAAAUUAAUAACUAAAAUUUUAAAAUAUGAAAAAAGGAAAAGAAAGACGAUUGUAGUAAUUAAGAAAAAAAUAUAUAAUUUUUUAAAAGAAAAUCUAUAUGAUACCACUACCAUUAAUUCUAUCUCUACCUUAUUUAUUAUCAUUAAAUUUAUGGGUUUGAAUAUCUUUAACCUUUCCAGAAGACUAUAAAAGAAGAAAUAAAUAAAUGAAAGCCUAUUCUAUUGAAAAAUAAUAUAUUUAAACUAAAAAAAUAUAUAUUACUCCGUUUUUAUUCAAGAUAACCUCAAUGUCACCAAAUAUCACACAUUGUACAAAGGAGCUAAACUGAGUGCCUGCGAGCAGGGGAGGGUGGUUUGGUUUAUUUCGAGUCUUCACAAAAAUAAACAAAUCAAAAAAAUAAUCCAACUAAUUGGAACGAUUCACGGGUCAAUAUCGGUUCAAAAUUACGCAUCAACCUCAAAAUCACCCAAUGUCAAAAAAAAAAAAAAAAACUCAAAAUCACCCAUUCUAUUGGCCUAAGAAAUAAUUCAUUUCAUUCUAUUGGCCCAAUAAAUAAUUCAUUUCAUAUAUGGUAUAUUCAUAAUUUUAACGUAAAAUUUUAAUUUUUUUAAUGAGUUAUCACUAUAUAUAUGGGGGCGUAAGUUCUCUCUAAACUUAAAAAUAAGAUAUUUUAUUUUAUAUUUACUUAGAUUUCAGCCCCUAAAAUUAAAUCAUAUCACUUCUAACGAUCAAUUUUCAGUUCUAACUCCGCCCCUGAUUAUAUAGCACAAUGAAUGAGAACAUAAAACUGAACAAUUAAACAAUCACAAUGGAGACACCAACUUUUAUAAAAACGAAAAACUUCAAAACCUUAAAUCCAAUAUUGUCUUUCUAAGAUCUUUGUACAAAUUACAACAUUAGUAAUCAAUAAAAUAUAGUUAUGUAAACCAAAAUCAAUUAUAAAGAAUCCAGAAAUUGGUUCAAUGGGCCCCUAAAGAGAUAAUAAAUUAAAAAUUAAAAAUUUCAUAAAAAAUGUAACUAACCUUUCAAAACCGAGAGAAAUGGAAGCUCUCAAACUUUAAUCGUCUCCUUGUUGGCCUUUUCCACUCACAAUGCCGUGACUCCCUCAAAAUAUUCUCUUUAUAGGUUCUUAAUUUUCCUAAUUUUUUGCCCCCCCUUUUUUUUUUGGGAACCUGUAUUUUUCAUAUGGAUUUUCCUUUCCAAGCUAAUUAUGAAAUCUCUCUCCUUAAUAGGAUUGGCUUUGGGCUAGUCCAUCCACAUAAGAGGACAGGCCCGUCAGCCCAAUCAAGAACAACAUAAUUACAUAGACGUCCUUUGUUUCUUGAAUUUUUUAAAAAUACCGUUUGUUUACACAAUUGGUUAAUUAAAUCUUAAUUUCUCUUGUCCUUUCUUCGACUGCAAAAGUUUCUUUUAUAUAAAUUUAGUUAACUAUUUUAAUUUUAUAAAACAAAAUAAUGAAAUUUAAAAAAUGUGUGAAAUUUUACUAUCAUAUGUUAGAUUCAUUAAAAAAUUAAUUGUAUAAAUUAAAUUAUCUUCUAAACAAUUCAAUCGUUUUACAUAAUAGAAAUAUAAGAAUAAAAUGAACUCUUCGAUUAUGAAUAUUAGUUGUGGUUGAAGAUAGUUCAUAAAUAUAUAGAAAACCAGUAUGCUGACAGCCUGAUAGAACUACGCCAUAAAAUUAUUGGACCACUGAACUGUGGCAAUCAGACGGGGGCUUAAGUGACCAAAAACAAUUGAUUCAAUUAGUCAAUUGUGUAAACUAUUAAUAGAUUUUAAAUUUGAGCAAACAACAAGGACCUUUCUGUAAAUUAACAUAUUAAUAUUGGCGGGUGUGAGUAUUUAGCCAUAUAAGAUAAAACCAAAUACAAUGGGCUUUCCCGAAGUUAACUAAAUAGAUGAAUUUUCCUUUUUUACCCUACCACCAAAAGACAAUUAAAAAAAAUAAUGUAGACUUGUGAAAACAAAAUUAGUUGAGACUUACAAAUACAUGAAUUUCAAAAUAAGGAAAAUAAAGUUCGUAUUAUAAUAAUAUAGUAAGUAACGUGUCACUCAUUGAUUGAUGCCAUAUAAUAAUCAAAUUAAUGAUAGUAUAGAAACAUUAACAAUUAUUUAAUAUAUAAUAGUCAAUUUAUUACCGCCAUGAACAGCUUUUGAUUACAACGCAUCACAACUUUACGAGUGUAUCAACAUUACUUAAGUUAAUUAUUUGAUCUCUCCGAUAUGAAUGUCUAAAAUCGAAAAAGUGUAAAAUUCUAAACAGUACGCUACUAUAUGAUGCGUUACUUUCACAAGGUGAAAUAAGUAAAGGAAAGAGACAAAUAAUUGUAAUUAGAAAAAAAAAGCACAUUAGUUUUCAUUGAGGAAAUCGAAAUAACACCGUGACGAUAUGGUCCAUUAUUGUAGAAAAAUAUUAUUUCUAAUCAUAUGGUAAGUAAUUAUCAUUAAAAAGACUAUAUUACCCUUUAAAAAUGUUUAUGGAUAUUAUAAAAAAAGAAAUCGUUACAAUCUACACAUAUAUUGCAUAAUUAGAAGUUUAUUGAAAAUUCAUAUGCAACAAAUUUAUAGCAUAGUUUAAAAAUUUAUUAAGACUACUGAAAAAUCUACUCCUACUAACAAUAUCUGAUGGGAAAUUUACCAUAUUUCAUAUGUUAUUAAACGGAAAACUUUACACGAAGUGGUGCCCUCACGAUAUUACAACUUAUAAAGGAAAAUUUUUAUCAAGAUUAUAAAAUAACACAUUAGCUAGUUCAAUAAGAUGAACAUAAUUUUUUUAAGCUAAUAAAGGUGCAAAUUACAUUUCUGAAUUCCAAAUCAAAAUGUGACACAAAAUUGUCAACCAACGAAAACCUCCAAUUCGGACUUAUUUUCUUGAUCAAUCACAUCAAGGAACACAGGAUCAACGGUCACAUGACUGUCCACGUGGAUCUUAAACUUGUGAUCCCACCACAACACCUUCGCCGUACCCUCGAUAUCCACUUUGGCUUCAAACAGCAUCUCUCUCUUCGCGACGUCGGCGAAGAACUUUCUAGCGUGGUGGGCCAGCUCGAGCCCGUCGAGCCGAGCCGGGAUGUGGAGCAGCUGGCAGGAGCCGGCCGCCUGGGAUCCGGCCUUGACGGGAGCGGAGCCGAGGAGCGAGCCCUCGUAGAAGAUGGACAUGGUGGUGGAGGAGUACUUGAUGGGAGUGAUGUUGGGAUUGACGACGUGUACGGUCAGGAUGAGCUCGGCGUCUAGGACUGGGAACUUGAGUUUAAACGAGGUGAGUUUGAUUGAGAUCAAUUGGAAUGUGGGGUCCUUCGGCUUCGCACUGACUAGAGCUGCCGUUGCGGUUGCUGCUGCUGCUCCUAUCAAAGCUGAGUUCCAGCUCCAUUUUACCUUUUUGCCCAUGACCUUCUUCGUAAAUUACUCUAUUCUUGGUCCCUUUUGAAAUAAUGAACCAACCAACGAAGACGAGACCAAGGGGGACGCGGGUUUAUCUUUAGUCUGAUAGCCACGGUGAUUGAAAUGACGCUAAUGCCCAUAUAAAUAUUUGUUUGGUGACAGGCAUGGUGGUACAGCAGGGCUCCCCCCCACGUUGCUAACUGUCUUUUUCUUAUUUUCUUUCCGCUCGAGCCCGUCGAGCCGAGCCGGGAUGUGGAGCAGCUGGCAGGAGCCGGCCGCCUGGGAUCCGGCCUUGACGGGAGCGGAGCCGAGGAGCGAGCCCUCGUAGAAGAUGGACAUGGUGGUGGAGGAGUACUUGAUGGGAGUGAUGUUGGGAUUGACGACGUGUACGGUCAGGAUGAGCUCGGCGUCUAGGACUGGGAACUUGAGUUUAAACGAGGUGAGUUUGAUUGAGAUCAAUUGGAAUGUGGGGUCCUUCGGCUUCGCACUGACUAGAGCUGCCGUUGCGGUUGCUGCUGCUGCUCCUAUCAAAGCUGAGUUCCAGCUCCAUUUUACCUUUUUGCCCAUGACCUUCUUCGUAAAUUACUCUAUUCUUGGUCCCUUUUGAAAUAAUGAACCAACCAACGAAGACGAGACCAAGGGGGACGCGGGUUUAUCUUUAGUCUGAUAGCCACGGUGAUUGAAAUGACGCUAAUGCCCAUAUAAAUAUUUGUUUGGUGACAGGCAUGGUAAUUUAAGAGCUUGGGCAUGGGCUUAUUAUUGAUAGCAACAAGCUCAAGUCCUCUAAAAUCCCGUCCAAGACUUGGGCCUAAAGCUCACCGGUUUGGACCGAGUUUAAUUUUAUAAAAUUUUAAUAGAGUUUAAAAUAAAAAAUUAAAAGAAUACUUAAAUUAAAGAUGAUUACUGCUGUACCGUACAUCCGCCUUGGCCGUACAGCAGAAAUUAAAGAUGAUUAAUUGAUUAUAUAAUAUUUAAUAAAUUAAUAAUCAAAUAAAUAAAAUAUAUAAUAUAUAAAAUUUAAAAUAUAAAGCUCAUAAUAUAUAAAAUAAAAAAAAUUUAUUUAUAAAAUAUAAAGUUUAUGUCAAGCCUUAAUUUUUUCAAUGAGCCCAUAUCGAGGCUCAUCUAUUGUGAACUUUUAAAUUUUCAGUCUAUGACUAGGUAUAUUCACUGUAGAUCGAGCCUACAACUCGUGGGUCUAGAUGGGCCAUUUAUGGACCGAGCCAGAUCUAACUUUAUCUCUAUUUGGUGAUGUGUUUGUGAUGGUUAAUUUUGGUAUUUAAAAAAGUUGAGUUAAACUUAAGACAAGGCGAAUUUGGAUAGGCGUUAAAGGAUAAUGGUAGAAAUCAAAAUUAUGUUUUCAAAUCAUAUCUUCAAUCACUAAGAGAAUCUCCAAAAUGCUCUUCAAAUAAGAUUUUAUUAUUUAUUUGAAGAGGCACAUCAGUAUUUAAAAAUCUAAAAAAUAUUUCAAUUAAGAUUAUUUAAAUAAAAAAUGAUUCACUCUCUUCAAUUUUGUAGGGUUGUUUUCUUUCUCUUUAAUUUAUAUUUUAUUACUUUUAUUGGAGAGAGAGAGAGAGAGAGAGAGAGAGAGAGAGAUGCUUUAAUUAUCAUUUAUUUUUCCUUUGAAAAAAAUAUUUAUUUGAUUAAAAUACAUUAAACUGAUUUCUAUUUGAAGAGCCUUUUAGAAAAUAACAUAUUUUUUCACUCUUUUUUACCACAUAAGUAAGCAAAUAAAUAAUUAGAAAGUAAAAUUAAUAGAACAUUUUGGAGAUACUCUAAUAAUAUGAGAUUUGCUAAGGUUUUACCAAGUAGUAAGGAGCAGUGUUUUUACAACUCAAGUUCUAAAUUCGAAUUGUGCUAAUGUGCAUAGGUUAAAUAAAAAAUAAUAUGAGAUUCGUUUAAAAUUACAUACAAAAUCCAUAUUCAGAUUAUAUAACUAUUGCAGAAUAAUAAUAAUAAUAAUAAUAAUAAUAAUAAUAAUAAUAAGAACAACAACAAUCAUAAAGACACUAUUUUAAUUUUAUCUCAAUUUCAUACCAGAGUAAAUAAAAGUUGAAUUAAUAAUAAAGUUGUUUCAAUAUUGCAGGAUAGAAGUAGAGUUCAUUGGUGGGAUACAUAUCAUUUAUUAGAUAUAUAUGAGUCAACAAAAUAAUUUAUUGUGAAUAACAUAAAUUCAUUGCAUCAUUGAUCAUAAACUUUUUGAUAAGAUGAGAAUUUUAGAAAGUUUAUGAUUUUAUUUUUCCUCUUUGAAUUUGUUCUCAUUAUAAUUCUCUACUAUUUUGAUUAGACUCUUAUAAACCGCCUUGGCCGUACAGCAGCUAUGAUUCUGUCCCCCCCCCCCUUUUUUUUUCUUUUACUAUUUUUACAACUUUUUAAUUUAAAAUUUUCUAGGACCGUGUAACUAGCUUACAAGCCAUAGGCAAAUUAACCUUCCAAUUCUCUCAAAAAUUUCAGCAAUGCUAACACGUGAGAGUCAAUACUAAUUACUGUAUUUUAGAUAUUUUUUAUCGAUUCAUUAUGUAGCCAACGGUUAACUGGGAGGGCUAACUGAAUAAUACCUUUUCAAACAGAGAGAGAGAGAGAGUACUUGUGCAAAGUGUUUGGCUACUCUAAUUAAAAAGUGUUUAAACAAUUGUAGAUUGUUUGGACUACUCAAAUUAAAAAAAGUACCUAUAUAUAGAUGGUAUAGGGCCACUUUGGGAUUGCAGAGGCUGAUGAAAUAAGUUGUUUGUAUUGUGCAGAAAAAAUAAGCUAUUGAUUAAAAAAAUAACUUGGUGUUCAGUAAACUGUGUUGUUGCGGUUGCCGUGAGUUUGAAAAGUAGAGUACAUGCGUUUGGUCAAUUUUAUUACGAAAUUGUUGUUUUAUUAUAUAAUGACCAAAAUAAACAUAAGUUUUUAAUCGCUUGUUAUUUUUAUAGUAUGUUUAAUUAAUUGUUUAAACAUAUCUUUUUUUCUUAAAUAUAUAAAAUUACAUUAAAAAAACUCAAUUAAAAAAAAUCUAAAGAACUUCAUAAUCUGUUAUAUGAAAUAUGAUAAAAGUUCGUACUUAUACAUAAUCCAAAUAAAAUAAAAAGUAAUAUAUAUUACAUUCACAAGAAAUUUUUUGCAAUAAAGUUCCUCAAAUUUUCAAUUUUUUGGGAUCCAGAGCCAUUAGUAUUGUGAUGCUCUUUGAUUAAAAAUAUAAAUAUAUAUAGAUUAAACUUUAAAAGUCAUAAUUAUGAAAUUAGAAUAUGAACUUACUGGAUCAAAACUGGAGAGAACUUGCGUGGUUCUAACAGUAACUAAAUUAUGGUGCUAAUAUGAUAUAUGAUAAUUUAUAUAUUAGGGUUUAUUAAUAAAAAAUAUAAUUGUCUUUUUAUUAAAAUAUAGGGUUAUAAUAAAAAUUUUAAAAAGAUGUAGUAGUUUAUUAAAUAAGUUGCUUAUGAAAAGCAACUCCCUAUUUGUUUUUAAAAGCUACCGACAAAAUGGAGAAAAUUAUGAAAUAAGUUGAUUUUAUAAAAUUUACCAAAUACUAUUUUUUAUAAAAAAUUAUGAAAUAAACAACUUAUUAAAUUUCAACCGCAAAUUUCAUAAGCAUGCACGACUUGUACUUUGUGCUCUUCACUAUUAGCAAAUUAAUAUGGAAUUGCUACGACUUCGAAAUAGUGAACUAAAUUGCAUUGCAAUCUCAAAAAAGAAAAAGAAAAAAGGACAAGAUCAAGAAAUUGAUGAAAUAUAGUCGUAACUUGUUAAAAAUGAAACAAAAAAUGACAAAAAAAAAAGAAAUAUUGAUUAAUCUCAACUUACUAUUAUAUACAUCGACUGUUAAAAUUGUAAAAGCAAUCAACGCGAAAGCAACAAUCCAUACAUUAUAAAGUCGGUGUCAUGAUACUAUGAAACAAAAAAAAGGAAAAAAUAUUACAUGAAAUGUACAAAAACAAGUGACACCAAAAUAGUGCAAAGCAAGUAAUUCAGGCCACUCCGACCAAGGCUUGCAUCGUUAGAUCCAUGAUGGUGGUGGUCGUUACGGUGGUUCUGAGCACCGCCAGCCGCACCGGCCGCAUAAAGGGGAAUAACCGCGCCACCACCUUGCGUGUGUGGUGAUGUAUCCCCAUUGCUGCGGGCCGCUUCCCUUCCCCCGUGGCCGCCGGAGCCGCCGGAACCUCCAUGACCGCCACUACUUCCGUGGCCUCCGCCACCGCCGCCACGCCUACUCACGGCUGCUUUUUCUUGGAGUAUUGGGCGUACGUUUUGUUGCUUAUCAGUGUCUACAGAAAAAGUGGCACCAUGUAAAAUCAUUGCGGACGUACUAUUUGUCGCUACCACCGCAUCGAAUUAUUGCUUGCAUGGGCCUUGGGCCCAGGGCACAAGCAUCUGUCGGCCCAAUUGGGCCAUAAACAUGCCCUUUUAACAUAAAAAGUUUCCACGGCGAUCCAUCCACAGCCACAAGCAAGGAAUAUUUUGCCUUUUGCAGAUGCCAAGUAAUCUUGGCAUGUUGGGGGGAUGCAAAAAUUCCUUGAUUUAUUUUUAAUUAUUUACAAUUUUUUUACUUUUUGGGUUUGGAGAAGCUACUAAACACUACGUAAAGACAGUAAAGAGUCAAAACAAAUUCUUAUAUUUUAGAUUUUAAACUAGUCUUUAC